UACGUAGGGUCCAAGCGUUAUCCGGAAUCACUGGGCGUAAAGCGUGCGUAGGCGGAUGUUUAAGUGAGAUGCGAAAUCUUGUGGCUCAACCAUAUAGACUGUAUCUCAUACUGGAUAUCUUGAGGAUGGCAGAGGCUAGUGGAAUUACCGGUGUAGCAGUGAAAUGCGUAGAGAUCGGUAGGAACACCAAUGGCGAAGGCAGCUAGCUGGGCCAUUUCUGACGCUAAGGCACGAAAGCGUGGGGAGCGAACAGG
Molecule: unclassified non-coding RNA, 254 nt
Filed under: uncultured Patescibacteria group bacterium
Lineage: Bacteria
Description: contains 16S-23S intergenic spacer region
Rfam family: Bacterial small subunit ribosomal RNA
Source: RNAcentral